RNAcentral lists this ribosomal RNA (127 nucleotides) under Neogale vison (American mink). The record is from RNAcentral. Lineage: Eukaryota; Metazoa; Chordata; Mammalia; Carnivora; Mustelidae.
AUUGUCUAUAGCCAUACCACCCAGAAUGCAACCAAUCUCGUCUGAUCUUGGGAGCUAAGCAGGGUCAGUCCUGGUUAGUACUUGGAAGGGAGAAUUUUAUUUCUAAGAACACUGGAGAGGGAAAAUU